UACAGAGGGGGCAAGCGUUAUUCGGAAUUAUUGGGCGUAAAGGGCGCGUAGGCGGCCUGGCAAGUGGAAGGUGAAAUCCCUCGGCUUAACCGAGGAACUGCCUCCGAAACUGCUUGGCUUGAGACCGGGAGAGGUGAGUGGAAUUCCCAGUGUAGCGGUGAAAUGCGUAGAGAUCAGCAGGAACACCCGUGGCGAAGGCGGCCCCCUGGGCCGUACCUGACGCUGAGGCGCGAAGGCUAGGGGAGCGAACGGG
Molecule: ribosomal RNA, 253 nt
Filed under: uncultured bacterium
Lineage: Bacteria
Description: partial 16S ribosomal RNA
Rfam family: Bacterial small subunit ribosomal RNA
Source: RNAcentral